Molecule: ribosomal RNA, 329 nt
Filed under: uncultured eukaryote
Lineage: Eukaryota
Description: partial 18S ribosomal RNA
Rfam family: Eukaryotic small subunit ribosomal RNA
Source: RNAcentral
CCCUUAGAUGUCCUGGGCCGCACGCGCGCUACACUGAGUGUCUGAGAUACGAGUCUGCCUGGUCCGGCAAGGUCUAGGUAAUCGCUAAAAGACACAUCAUGCUUGGGAUAGAUUAUUGCAAAUAUUAAUCCUGAACGAGGAAUUCCUAGUAAGCGCAAGUCAACAGCUUGCGUUGAUUACGUCCCUGCCCUUUGUACACACCGCCCGUCGCUACUACUGAUUGGAUGUUUAAGCGAGGUUCUCGAACUGCUAGCGACUUAGCUUCGGUGAGGUCGCAGUGUGGGAAGUGAACCUAGCUUUGGUGUCUAGAGGAAGUAAAAGUCGUAACA